GCGGACCUGAUGUAACAGCAGCAUGCCGGGCCUCCACCCCGGUCGCGCGGGUGCGAAGCCCGCGGUCCGCACCA
This 74-nucleotide transfer RNA is filed under the name Myxococcales bacterium. RNAcentral's name for it is "tRNA-Gly". RNAcentral also lists the same sequence under 1 other name. Lineage: Bacteria; Pseudomonadati; Myxococcota; Myxococcia; Myxococcales. The record is from RNAcentral.